UGGAGUCAACUCAUGAGACUAUGAAAUACACGUAUUAGCAAAGUGUUGUGUUAAGAAAACUGUGACUCCCCCAUUCAAAGUAGCUUUUGAAGACACUAGAAGUACUUUUGAAAGCCAAAAAAGAUGAACCCUCACAAAGCUGAAAACAACACUGCAGACGUCAUCUAGGUGGAGUCACUAACAACUGAAAGAAGACAGAGUUUAAGGGAAAAAACCCAUAAGCUUUGGCACAUGAAACAGAGACCUCCCUCCUGAAAAAUAAAAAUGAAAUUAAAUGAUUAUGCUCUCAUUGCUAAAACAGCAAUGUGUAUGACCUGCACCUCUGCCUUGCUCGUAACACUAGUGACGUAGCUGGUCCCUGUGUGCUGAUUCAGAGAGUUAUGACCUCUUCAGCCUCUGGGCCUUUGAGCACGCCGUUCCCUCUGCUAGAAAUACAUCUUGACCCUUCAUUGCGCUGACUCCCAUUCUUCUUCAGUUACUAGUGAGUACUGAUGUCACUUUGACCCUCACCCCAAGCCUAGAUGGGGUCUCGCUGCUAUAGGGGCCCGUAAGCCCUGAUGCUCUUCUUGUUAUAACAUUUAUUCCACUUCAUUUAAUUACUUGUUCUCUUUAGCUUCUCCACUAUGUUCUGUGUGGGCAAAAAACUCACCUUUCUCAUUCAUCACUCCAUCACUAGAGCCUUGAACACCAUCUGGC
RNAcentral lists this long non-coding RNA (696 nucleotides) under Equus caballus (horse). RNAcentral's name for it is "lncRNA (ENSECAG00000052817.1)". The record is from RNAcentral. Lineage: Eukaryota; Metazoa; Chordata; Mammalia; Perissodactyla; Equidae.